UGGGGAAUUGUUCACAAUGGGCGCAAGCCUGAUGACGCAACGCCGCGUGGAGGAUGAAGGUCUUCGGAUUGUAAACUCCUGUUGCCCGGGACGAAAAGCUCCGACCUAAUACGUCGGAGUCUGACGGUACCGGGUGAGGAAGCCCCGGCUAACUCUGUGCCAGCAGCCGCGGUAAUACAGAGGGGGCAAGCGUUGUUCGGAUUUACUGGGCGUAAAGCGCGUGUAGGCGGGUCGUUAAGUUGGGGGUGAAAUCCCGAGGCUCAACCUCGGAACUGCCUUCAAAACUGGCGACCUGGACUCAAGCAGAGGCAAGUGGAAUUGCGAGUGUAGAGGUGAAAUUCGUAGAUAUUCGCAGGAACACCAGUGGCGAAGGCGACUUGCUGGGCUUGUGGUGACGCUGAGACGCGAAAGCGUGGGGAGCAAA
Molecule: ribosomal RNA, 424 nt
Filed under: uncultured bacterium
Lineage: Bacteria
Description: bacterial SSU rRNA
Rfam family: Bacterial small subunit ribosomal RNA
Source: RNAcentral